AUUGAACGCUGGCGGCAUGCCCUACACAUGCAAGUCGAACGGCAGCAUGAUCUAGCUUGCUCGAUUGAUGGCGAGUGGCGAACGGGUGAGUAAUACAUCGGAACGUGCCCUGUAGUGGGGGAUAACUAGUCGAAAGAUUAGCUAAUACCGCAUACGACCUGAGGGUGAAAGUGGGGGACCGCAAGGCCUCAUGCUAUAGGAGCGGCCGAUGUCUGAUUAGCUAGUUGGUGAGGUAAAGGCUCACCAAGGCGACGAUCAGUAGCUGGUCUGAGAGGACGAUCAGCCACACUGGGACUGAGACACGGCCCAGACUCCUACGGGAGGCAGCAGUGGGGAAUUUUGGACAAUGGGCGAAAGCCUGAUCCAGCAAUGCCGCGUGUGUGAAGAAGGCCUUCGGGUUGUAAAGCACUUUUGUCCGGAAAGAAAUGGCUCUGGUUAAUACCUGGGGUCGAUGACGGUACCGGAAGAAUAAGGACCGGCUAACUACGUG
RNAcentral lists this ribosomal RNA (490 nucleotides) under uncultured bacterium. Its description in RNAcentral is "partial 16S ribosomal RNA". It matches the Rfam family "Bacterial small subunit ribosomal RNA", at positions 30 to 507 of the family's 1533-position model. The record is from RNAcentral.